UUGAGCCGGAUGAAAGGAAACUUUCACGUCCGAUUUUGACGGGGGGAGAUCCUAUAGGAUCCUAUCCCAAU
This is a non-coding RNA of Populus trichocarpa (black cottonwood), 71 nucleotides long. Lineage: Eukaryota; Viridiplantae; Streptophyta; Magnoliopsida; Malpighiales; Salicaceae. The record is from Rfam.